CUACGGGAGGCAGCAGUGGGGAAUUUUGGACAAUGGGCGAAAGCCUGAUCCAGCAAUGCCGCGUGUGUGAACAAGGCCUUCGGGUUGUAAAGCACUUUUGUCCGGAAAGAAAUGCCUUGUCUAAUAUAACCGGGGGAUGACGGUACCGGAAGAAUAAGCACCGGCUAACUCGCGUGCCAGCAGCCGCGGUAAUACGUAGGGUGCGAGCGUUAAUCGGAAUUACUGGNGCGUAAAGCGUGCGCAGGCGGUUUGCUAAGACCGAUGUGAAAUCCCCGGGCUCAACCUGGGAACUGCAUUGGUGACUCUGGCAGGCUAGAGU
This 319-nucleotide ribosomal RNA is filed under the name uncultured Burkholderia sp. RNAcentral describes it as "bacterial SSU rRNA". It matches the Rfam family "Bacterial small subunit ribosomal RNA", at positions 339 to 647 of the family's 1533-position model. Lineage: Bacteria; Pseudomonadati; Pseudomonadota; Betaproteobacteria; Burkholderiales; Burkholderiaceae. The record is from RNAcentral.